AUUGAACGCUGGCGGCAGGCUUAACACAUGCAAGUCGAGCGAGCGGCGGACGGGUGAGUAAUGUCUGGGAAACUGCCUGAUGGAGGGGGAUAACUACUGGAAACGGUAGCUAAUACCGCAUACCAUCAGCUGUGCCCAGAUGGGAUUAGCUAGUAGGUGGGGUAAUGGCUCACCUAGGCGAGGAUCCCUAGCUGGUCUGAGAGGAUGACCGGCCACACGGGAACGGAGACACGGUCAUGACUCCUACGAGAGGCAGCAGGUGGGAAUAGUGCACAAUGGGCGCGAGGAUGAUGCAGCCAGGCCGCGUGUGUUAAGAAGGCCUUGGGGUUGUAAAGAACGUUCAGCGAGUAGGCGUUACUCGCAGAAGAAGCACCGGCUAACUCCGUGCCAGCCGCCGCGGUAAUAC
This 406-nucleotide ribosomal RNA is filed under the name uncultured bacterium. Its description in RNAcentral is "partial 16S ribosomal RNA". It matches the Rfam family "Bacterial small subunit ribosomal RNA", at positions 29 to 526 of the family's 1533-position model. The record is from RNAcentral.